RNAcentral lists this ribosomal RNA (460 nucleotides) under uncultured bacterium. Its description in RNAcentral is "partial 16S ribosomal RNA". It matches the Rfam family "Bacterial small subunit ribosomal RNA", at positions 338 to 795 of the family's 1533-position model. The record is from RNAcentral.
CCUACGGGCGGCAGCAGUGAGGAAUAUUGGUCAAUGGACGAGAGUCUGAACGAGCCAAGUAGCGUGAAGGAUGACUGCCCUAUGGGUUGUAAACUUCUUUUAUAUGGGAAUAAAAUGUUCCACGUGUGGGAUUUUGUAUGUACCAUAUGAAUAAGGAUCGGCUAACUCCGUGCCAGCAGCCGCGGUAAUACGGAGGAUCCGAGCGUUAUCCGGAUUUAUUGGGUUUAAAGGGAGCGUAGGUGGAUUGUUAAGUCAGUUGUGAAAGUUUGCGGCUCAACCGUAAAAUUGCAGUUGAAACUGGCAGUCUUGAGUACAGUAGAGGUGGGCGGAAGUCGUGGUGUAGCGGUGAAAUGCUUAGAUAUCACGAAGAACUCCGAUUGCGAAGGCAGUUCACUGGACUGCAACUGACACUGAGGCUCGAAAGUGUGGGUAUCAAACAGGAUUAGAUACCCCGGUAGUC